Molecule: transfer RNA, 72 nt
Filed under: Pseudomonadota bacterium
Lineage: Bacteria; Pseudomonadati; Pseudomonadota
Description: Proteobacteria bacterium (wastewater metagenome) tRNA-Gln
Rfam family: tRNA
About the family: Transfer RNA (tRNA) molecules are approximately 80 nucleotides in length. Their secondary structure includes four short double-helical elements and three loops (D, anti-codon, and T loops). Further hydrogen bonds mediate the characteristic L-shaped molecular structure. tRNAs have two regions of fundamental functional importance: the anti-codon, which is responsible for specific mRNA codon recognition, and the 3' end, to which the tRNAs corresponding amino acid is attached (by aminoacyl-tRNA synthetases). tRNAs cope with the degeneracy of the genetic code in two manners: having more than one tRNA (with a specific anti-codon) for a particular amino acid; and 'wobble' base-pairing, i.e. permitting non-standard base-pairing at the 3rd anti-codon position.
Source: RNAcentral
UGGGUGGUCGCCAAGUGGUAAGGCAGCGGUUUUUGGUACCGCCAUUCGGAGGUUCGAAUCCUCCCCGCCCAG